ACGAGCGCUCCCUCUCUGUCACCGGUGCUUGACCAGGAAACGCAACAGGGGGAGACGCUCCACCACGCGGGCCAAACAAUUGCUCGCAGUAUUUCAAAGAAACGCUGAAACAGGUGGAUAAAUCGGACGCCGUGAGGCACGUUCAUAUUACGGCCACCGGGCCCUCUCUUGUGGCCCCUCACCAUUCAUGCCUGUCGACAGCAUGAUGUAGCCACAUGGGGCCAAAGUGCUGACUCCAGCCCCUGACAUCCUCCUCACUCACGGCCUUUGACCCCGUUACAAAAGAGGAUGUCUCCCUGGACAGAGAUUUCCCUGCUGUUUGACGGCUGUGCGGCACAAAAAGCCGCCUGGCUCUGUUGACACGGGCAUUAGGAGGCACAAUAUGGGGACAGACUGGGAGGCCCCCCACUGGAAAACAACGUUUCCUGUCACUGGAUGGUUGUGUUGGAAAAUUACCUUAUCUGUCUUAUCAGAACAAUUAUCGUCUUGUGCUGGUACUUUCACUUUUGACCUAAAUUCAGAUUGACAGUGGUGAUAGCUGUCAUAGGAAAUUAGUAGAAAAUAAAUAACUGUUUAGGCUGAUAGUGGAAUAAAUGUAUGAGACUAAUAAAGGUUUUAUUCACUA
This is a long non-coding RNA of Notolabrus celidotus (New Zealand spotty), 625 nucleotides long. RefSeq lists it as uncharacterized. The record is from RefSeq and is a predicted model, not a curated record. The transcript has 3 exons. NCBI's taxonomy places the organism in Eukaryota, Metazoa, Chordata, Actinopteri, Labriformes, Labridae.